AUUCCAGCUCCAAUAGCGUAUAUUAAAGUUGUUGCAGUUAAAAAGCUCGUAGUUGGAUUUCUGAUCUGAGCGUCCGGUCCGCCGCUGUGCGGUGUGUACUUGGUUCGACUCGGAUCUUCCUUGCAGGGAAUGUGUCUGGCCUUAAUUGGUCGGGUUCGGGAACUGCAUCGUUUACUGUGAAAAAAUUAGAGUGUUUAAAGCAGGCAUUUGCUGUGAAUACAUUAGCAUGGAAUAAUAAGAUAGGACUUUGGUUCUAUUUUGUUGGUUGGAGGCCAAGGUAAUGAUUAAUAGGGAUAGUUGGGGGUAUUCAUAUUUAAUUGUCAGAGGUGAAAUUCUUGGAUUUAUGAAAGAUGAACUUAUGCGAAAGCAUUUACCAAGGAUGUUUUCAUCA
This 391-nucleotide ribosomal RNA is filed under the name Stramenopiles sp. MAST-3F. RNAcentral's name for it is "partial small subunit ribosomal RNA". It matches the Rfam family "Eukaryotic small subunit ribosomal RNA", at positions 582 to 975 of the family's 1831-position model. The record is from RNAcentral.